This 500-nucleotide unclassified non-coding RNA is filed under the name uncultured Glomus. Its description in RNAcentral is "SSU rRNA". It matches the Rfam family "Eukaryotic small subunit ribosomal RNA", at positions 591 to 1092 of the family's 1831-position model. Lineage: Eukaryota; Fungi; Glomeromycota; Glomeromycetes; Glomerales; Glomeraceae. The record is from RNAcentral.
CCAAUAGCGUAUAUUAAAGUUGUUGCAGUUAAAAAGCUCGUAGUUGAAUUUCGGGGUCAGUAGGUUGGUCGUGCCACCGGUACGUACUGGUCUCACUGAUUCCUCCUUCCUGAUGAGCUGUAAUGCCAUUAAUUUGGUGUUGCAGGGAAUCUGGACUGUUACUUUGAAAAAAUUAGAGGGUUUAAAGCAGGCUAACGCUUGAAUACAUUAGCAUGGAAUAAUGAAAUAGGACGUUCGAUCCUAUUUUGUUGGUUUCUAGGAUUGACGUAAUGAUUAAUAGGGAUAGUUGGGGGCAUUAGUAUUAAAUUGUCAGAGGUGAAAUUCUUGGAUUUAUUGAAGACUAACUACUGCGAAAGCAUUUGCCAAGGAUGUUUUCAUUAAUCAAGAACGAAAGUUAGGGGAUCGAAGACGAUCAGAUACCGUCGUAGUCUUAACCAUAAACUAUGCCGACUAGGGAUCGGAUGAUGUUAAUUUUUUAAUGACUCAUUCGGCGCCUUACG